GCCAGGGUUAUUUUGGAUUGGAAGACACAUUGCAAUAAUCUGUGUUUAGUUUAACUGCUACUGCUAAGUCGCUUCAGUCGUGUCGGACUCUGCGCGACCCCAUAGACGGCAGCCCACCAGACUCCCCCGUCCCUGGGAUUCUCCAGCCAAGAACACUGGAGUGGGUUGCCAUUUCCUUCUCCAAUGCAUGAAAGUGAAAAGUGAAAGUGAAGUUGCUCAGUCGUGUCCGACUCUUCGCGACCCCAUGGACUGCAGCCCACCAGGCUUCUCCAUCCAUGGGAUUUUCCAGGCAAGAGUACUGGAGUGGGGUGCCAUUGCCUUCUCCGAAUACAUACUCUGUUCACAAUAUUUUAUGCACCCAGUUGCAUUGUGAUGUUUUAGUCAGCAGGUGGCGAUGUUGCGUCACAAGGGACAUCCAACGUUCUUUGCUGAUGAGGUAAAUGGUGAUUUUAUUUCCGUAUCAAUAGCUCUAUUUUAAAAUAAGACAAUGGGCUACGGUCUGAUAGCUGGAAUCCUGUCUCUUCACAGGAACAAAGCAACACAGGUAUUUCAAGCAGUUCUUUGGGGGCGGUGUUCAGACAUUAGGAGCCGCCGGCGGUGAGAAAUGGGACCUGCAUUCUCAGCCUCAGAUCCUCCGAGGGCGACUUCCUGCCUCCUGAAAGCAGGUGCUAGACACAGCGUUCUGAAUCAGCUAGGAGAAGGGAGUGCAGUUGAUGAACAAUGCUGCCUUGAUGGUCCACUGGUUAAGAAUCUGCCUGCCAAUGCAGAGGACACGGGUUCGGUCCCUGGUCUGGGAAGAUCCCACAUGCCACUGGGCAUCAAAGCCUCUGCACCACAACUGCUGAGCCUUGCUCUAGAGUCCAUGAGCGUCAACUAUUGAAGCUUUCGAGCUGAAGCCAAUGCCACGGAAAGCCUGCUCACCACAACAAAUGGUAAUCCCCACUCCCUGCAACCAGAGAAAGCCUGCACACAGGGAUGAAGAUCCGCACAGCCAAAAAUAAAUAAAAUUAAAAUUUUAAAAACGGC
Long non-coding RNA from Bos indicus x Bos taurus (hybrid cattle), 1026 nucleotides. Lineage: Eukaryota; Metazoa; Chordata; Mammalia; Artiodactyla; Bovidae. The record is from Ensembl.